GACGAACGCUGUCGGCGUGCUUAACACAUGCAAGUCGAACGGAAAGGCCCUGCUUUUGUGGGGUGCUCGAGUGGCGAACGGGUGAGUAACACGUGAGUAACCUGCCCUUGACUUUGGGAUAACUUCAGGAAACUGGGGCUAAUACCGGAUAGGAGCUCCUGCUGCAUGGUGGGGGUUGGAAAGUUUCGGCGGUUGGGGAUGGACUCGCGGCUUAUCAGCUUGUUGGUGGGGUAGUGGCUUACCAAGGCUUUGACGGGUAGCCGGCCUGAGAGGGUGACCGGCCACAUUGGGACUGAGAUACGGCCCAGACUCCUACGGGAGGCAGCAGUGGGGAAUAUUGCACAAUGGGCGGAAGCCUGAUGCAGCAACGCCGCGUGCGGGAUGACGGCCUUCGGGUUGUAAACCGCUUUCGCCUGUGACGAAGCGUGAGUGACGGUAAUGGGUAAAGAAGCACCGGCUAACUACGUGCCAGCAGCCGCGGUGAUACGUAGGGUGCGAGCGUUGUCCGGAUUUAUUGGGCGUAAAGGGCUCGUAGGUGGUUGAUCGCGUCGGAAGUGUAAUCUUGGGGCUUAACCCUGAGCGUGCUUUCGAUACGGGUUGACUUGAGGAAGGUAGGGGAGAAUGGAAUUCCUGGUGGAGCGGUGGAAUGCGCAGAUAUCAGGAGGAACACCAGUGGCGAAGGCGGUUCUCUGGGCCUUUCCUGACGCUGAGGAGCGAAAGCGUGGGGAGCGAACAGGCUUAGAUACCCUGGUAGUCCACGCUGUAAACGGUGGGUACUAGGUGUGGGGUCCAUUCCACGGGUUCCGUGCCGUAGCUAACGCUUUAAGUACCCCGCCUGGGGAGUACGGCCGCAAGGCUAAAACUCAAAGGAAUUGACGGGGCCCCGCACAAGCGGCGGAGCAUGCGGAUUAAUUCGAUGCAACGCGUAGAACCUUACCUGGGUUUGACAUGGAUCGGGAGUGCUCAGAGAUGGGUGUGCCUCUUUUGGGGUCGGUUCACAGGUGGUGCAUGGCUGUCGUCAGCUCGUGUCGUGAGAUGUUGGGUUAAGUCCCGCAACGAGCGCAACCCUUGUUCACUGUUGCCAGCACGUUAUGGUGGGGACUCAGUGGAGACCGCCGGGGUCAACUCGGAGGAAGGUGGGGAUGACGUCAAGUCAUCAUGCCCCUUAUGUCCAGGGCUUCACGCAUGCUACAAUGGCUGGUACAGAGAGUGGCGAGCCUGUGAGGGUGAGCGAAUCUCGGAAAGCCGGUCUCAGUUCGGAUUGGGGUCUGCAACUCGACCUCAUGAAGUCGGAGUCGCUAGUAAUCGCAGAUCAGCAACGCUGCGGUGAAUACGUUCCCAGGGCUU
Molecule: ribosomal RNA, 1347 nt
Filed under: uncultured bacterium
Lineage: Bacteria
Description: partial 16S ribosomal RNA
Rfam family: Bacterial small subunit ribosomal RNA
Source: RNAcentral